CAGUCAAUCUGCUGGGGGCAGAUGAAAUGGAUAUGGGAAUCGAUGCCUCCGGCAGUCACGAUCAUCCCCUCCGCCGCUAGGGCCUCCGUGGACGCGCCCACCGUCAUUCCUUCUGUCACACCGUCCAUAAUAUCCGGAUUUCCUGCUUUUCCGAUCCCCGCGAUCCUGCCGUCCCGGAUUCCGAUAUCCGCCUUAUAGAUUCCGGUGUAAUCUAUGACCACGGCAUUGGUAAGCACCAGGUCUAAAUCCCCGUCUGCCCUCGUUGUCUUCACGGACUGCCCCAUGCCGUCCCG
This is a small RNA of Lactonifactor longoviformis DSM 17459, 293 nucleotides long. It matches the Rfam family "5' ureB small RNA". NCBI's taxonomy places the organism in Bacteria, Bacillati, Bacillota, Clostridia, Eubacteriales, Clostridiaceae. The record is from Rfam.